UGCUAAGCAACAGGUAGGCCAACAUUUUGGCUUGGCCUGCGAGGCUGCCUCACCAAUACCCUCUCAGUCACAACCCAAACACACGGUCGCGCACACACAUACACAUGUACGGCAGCAGAGAACCACAGCAUGCAGCUGUUUACGGCUCGUCGGUGCGUUGAAGCCGAUUCGUGCCAUUCGUUUAUGGCACUCGUGUUCGCCGCUGCGACAAGAACAGGGAAAUUUUUUACUAUCUGUGCGCUCGCUCUCUGUCUGGCCAUCUCUCUCUUGCUCGCUCGCGCUCUCGCCUUUAAGUUGUGCUUGUAAAUUUCCCUAGUGCGAUUUACACUAGCAGUCCAACAUCAUACAAGUGUUUUCUCGCAUGCGAUUUUGGAGUCGUGCGAAUCGUCGCGUCGUUGGGAUUGCCGGAGAAUUCGCAACGAUGUGGACGCCGCCGUCAACAUUGACGUCGCCGUCUACGCACGCACGCUGGCAAAAUUUGUGGAGCCAAACGCUCUGCGUCCGUCGACAGAGUCGCUGGCUCUGCUGCCUGCUUGCGUUGUGGCUGUGUCUCUGGCGCAAAGUGAUUUCAGUUUCUAGUUCUCGUUCAGCAUUGCCGACGGCACGACGUGUUUGUUCUAGUCUGUGUGUGGGCGCGGGCGCCGAAGCAGCAGUAGCAGCUGAAGCGCAAUUUCCCUUGCCUUUGCCUGCAACAACGACAAUCGGCGACAAAACCAAACAAAACAAAUCAAAAACUGAUGUUCACUUGAGCUCGUCGGCGACAGAUUGUGGGGCGGGGGCAAAAAAAAAAAAAAACAACCUUAAUACACAAUAUUUGAACGUGCAACAAAUCAAUAACAAAAUAAAGCAAA
Drosophila virilis is the source of this 851-nucleotide non-coding RNA. The record is from RefSeq and is a predicted model, not a curated record. NCBI's taxonomy places the organism in Eukaryota, Metazoa, Arthropoda, Insecta, Diptera, Drosophilidae.